CUGCUAUCACCAUGGUCGCCGGAUAUAUUUCUCUCAUAUCGAACCGCACAACGACACUACACGCUCUUUACCUUAUUAUCUUCGAUUGCUUAAUUUUGUUUGAUAUGGUGCAGAAAUAAUAAGAGGAUUUCAAAGGGCAAGGAUGGAGGCAAGAAGAAAGAGUGAGUUACCACAUUCAUUUAAUUUCAAAUGCGUGAAUUAUUUAUUUAUUUCUUUGAUUUCCCUACUAAAAAAAUAUUUCCUGUUGUUUCAGUGUUAGAUUCAUUCGCAAAGGAGUGAUAUGGCCUGAGAUGGCAUCUAUAGAUGCACGGGUGUUGCCUCCGUGCCUCUAUAGCGUUUGAGUUUUGGGCUUGCAUCAACUUCUCGAGGAUGACUGUAGUACAUAUCUACGAUGAUUUGAUCGACAUGUGUUGCAGUAAAGGGAUGGUAUGGUCUUGUCCUUGUUUGUACCAAAGUGGUAUCUAAACGGCCCAUCAUUGUUUCAGGAACAUAGUCGAAGACCUUUAGUUCCUGUUCGUAAUGCUCAUGGCGCGGUAGAGAAGACCUUUAUUGAUCUUGAGACAUUUCAGUUUAUGCCUAAGAUCAAAGACAAUGUGAAGGCUGUGAUGUUUUACAUCUGAUCCUUAUAUAUAUGUUGUCUGAUGCUGCCUUAAAAAUAUUUCAGUUUUUGCCUAAACUAGAAACAUUGGGCUUUUUGAUGGAUAUAAUCUCUGUUUGAAGAGGUUGCUUUUUGAGUGCCUUUGCAUUUCUUGCUCUAUAGUUUUUUUUAAAGCUAUUUUGGAAUGUAAAAAGAACAAUAGGGGUUACUUUUAUUAUAUGAAAUUUGUUAAUAGUCAGGCGAAAUGGUUUAGUUGCCUAAACUAGAAAAAAACAUUUGGCCUUUUAAUGGAUAUAAUCUCUGUUUGAAGAGGUUGGUUUUUGAGUA
Molecule: long non-coding RNA, 925 nt
Organism: Salvia splendens (bonfire salvia)
Lineage: Eukaryota; Viridiplantae; Streptophyta; Magnoliopsida; Lamiales; Lamiaceae
Exons: 2
Source: RefSeq, a predicted model, not a curated record